AAACAAUGUCAAAAUUGUGUGACAUUUUUACCACAAGUUAAUCUUGGAGUCAAUCCUAGAGGACUGAUACCUAACCAUAUUUGGCAGAUGGACGUCACACACUUGCCAGAAUUUGGAAAAUUAAAAUAUUUGCAUGUUACAGUUGAUACUUCUUCCGGAUUUUUGAUGGGCUCCCUUCAUUCCGGAGAAAAAACUAAAGAUGUUAUAGCUCAUUGCUUACAAAAUUUUGCCACUGUGGGUGUUCCAAAACAGUUAAAAACAGAUAAUGGCCCUGG
This 275-nucleotide long non-coding RNA is filed under the name Marmota monax (woodchuck). Lineage: Eukaryota; Metazoa; Chordata; Mammalia; Rodentia; Sciuridae. The record is from RNAcentral.